AAACGACUCUCGGCAACGGAUAUCUCGGCUCACGCAUCGAUGAAGAACGUAGCAAAAUGCGAUACUUGGUGUGAAUUGCAGAAUCCCGUGAACCAUCGAGUUUUUGAACGCAAGUUGCGCCCGAAGCCUUUCGGUCGAGGGCA
RNAcentral lists this ribosomal RNA (143 nucleotides) under Haastia recurva. RNAcentral describes it as "5.8S ribosomal RNA". It matches the Rfam family "5.8S ribosomal RNA", at positions 1 to 137 of the family's 154-position model. From Rfam's summary of the family: 5.8S ribosomal RNA (5.8S rRNA) is a component of the large subunit of the eukaryotic ribosome. It is transcribed by RNA polymerase I as part of the 45S precursor that also contains 18S and 28S rRNA. The record is from RNAcentral. Lineage: Eukaryota; Viridiplantae; Streptophyta; Magnoliopsida; Asterales; Asteraceae.